UGCAGUUUGCCAAAGACAGGAGGCCUGCAUUAUCAAUUAGUACCAGUGUUCAUGUACAGAAGCAAACAGGAAAGCAACAGAGACAUCACAGUAUAUGGUAUGCGUAUUAAGCACUAGGCUAUCAUGCCCACAACACUACACUACUACUACACUAGUAGUUUUGGAAAACUACGCCUUUGUUUUUUUGCUGAGGUAAACGAGAAGAAGGACACCAUAGCUGUUUCACCAUUUCUAGUCUUUGUCCUAAGCUAAGCUAACUGGCUGCCGGAUGGAGCUAAGUAUUUCGCACACAGAUUUCUCAUCUGACUCUUGGCAAGAAAGCAAGUGAAGAGGACAGGAACCAGAAACCAUUAGAUGGAGUUGGAGACAUAUCAGCGUCCAGAGGGAAGACAGUUGCACUUGUAACUCCUACCCACCACGACUGUUUGAAGACUGUUGAGGGACGCCCCAUAGAAACCUCCCAGUAGUGUUGUCCAGAAGAGAAGCCAGGUGUUCCUUUGAUAGCUGUGAGACAGGUAACCUUUUGUCCAUCAGGAAAAUCAGCUCCUCCCAGGUUGAGGAGGGUUUUCCAGGCGCACUCCUGCCUCCUUCAUCUCUUCACCAGAGAGGCCCACUGAGCAGUAAACCUCAGAGGAGCUGGCGACAAGAAGCCAGCUGUGGACUGACACAAGACCAGAAGACUCUUUUCUGUAAUUCAGGUUUUUUGUGUCCAGAACCUGCUUUUGAUCCGACCAGCUCAGGAUAGGCUCUGGAUACCAGCCUCCAGACUCACAGCUCACAUUCAUCACGUUAUCUUCUUUCCACACAGCUGACAGAAGUGGAGGGGCUCCCCUUUCUAGAAGGAAGAUGAAAAACUUUUGAUGUAAAGGUGAACAGACACUAUCCUUUAUUUUUGUGCGUUUUCUCCACUUUCAUGAUACUCACCAGUCACGAUGAGACUGACGCUUUCACUAUCAUAACCCUGAUCACUGCUGACAUAACAAACGUAAUCUCCUGCAUCCUCAAGUGUAGCAUUUACCAGCUGCAGGCUCACAUCACCUUCCUUCCGUCCGCCAGAGGCUGCAUCCUUUAAGCCAAAGGAGACUCUGCCCUUGUACGAAGCUUCCUGAGAUGUAUCGUCAAACUUUUUUGCCCGAUAAAGCAUGGCCGGGAAAUCAAAGUUGUUGUGACGGUACCAACGAACCUCGAAACCCUCUGCACUUUGCGGUGGAUUGAGCCAGCAUGGUAAUGUGGUUUUGUGGCCGUGGUGUACCGUGACAGGGGACUGGACCAAAACCACAAGGCUACCUGAAACUGUCAAAUAGGCAACAUACAUGUUGUUGAAGUUUAUGUUUUUGUAAUAUAUUCUGUAGUAGUAGUAGUAUAAGUACUGAGUGAAGAUGGGUUUUUACGUGGGCUGCAAGAUUUGGAGAAAAAGUCGUAUUGCGAUUAUUGUGGACGAUAUUGCGAUUUGCAAUAUAAUGGAACAAAUGUUACUAUGAGUCUACUUGCUUGAUUAAUAAUUUACAGCUUUUUCUCA
Micropterus dolomieu (smallmouth bass) is the source of this 1519-nucleotide long non-coding RNA. RefSeq lists it as uncharacterized. The record is from RefSeq and is a predicted model, not a curated record. The transcript has 3 exons. Lineage: Eukaryota; Metazoa; Chordata; Actinopteri; Centrarchiformes; Centrarchidae.